AUGUGUGUCCCAAAAAACCAAGGUGGUAUGGGAUUUCGUGAUAUCCAUUGUUUUAACUUGGCGUUGCUGGCUAAAUAGGCUUGGUGCCUUCUUGAGAACCCAGAUUCUUUAUGUGCCAGGAUAUUGAGAGCCAAAUAUUUUGCUGAUGGAGAUUUAUUGAAUGCAAAGCUUAAGAAGGGAUCUUCUUUCACAUGGCAAAGUAUUAUGUCGGGAGUUAGUACUCUGAAGAAUGGGUACAUUUGGCGAGUUGGAAAUGGUCAGUCCAUUAAUAUUUGGGAUGAUGCUUGGAUUCCUAAUUGUGCUACCAGGAAAGUCAUCACUCCAAAGGGGGGUCAUUUCUUGUCAAAGGUGUCGGACCUUAUUGACCCCACAUCAAACAAUUGGGAUGAAGAUCUCGUUAAUCAAACUUUGUGGCCCAUUGUUUCUCAUCGGAUCCUCGCGAUCCCUCUCCCACAAUAUGACAUGACGGAUUUUAUUGCUUGGAAUUACACUAAGAAUGGGAUCUUUUCUGUUCGCUCCGCCUAUGUCAUUGAGUGGAAUCACCAAUAUGGAAGGAAACUUAGCCGAUCUAACGGAUUGGGGCGAACAAAUUUUAAUCCAAUUUGGCGUAACAUCUGGAACUUAUCUUGUCCGGCAAAGGUUAAAAAAUUUAUUUGGAGGGUGUUGCAUGGCACUCUCCCAUGUCGUGUUACACUAGCCAAUAGAUGUAUGAAAGUUUCGCCAAUUUGUCCUUCGUGUUCGUCUAGGCAAGAAGAUACAAAACAUUUGUUGUUCCAGUGCCAGAAAGCUAAGGAGGUGUGGAGAAGACUUGGUUGA
RNAcentral lists this ribosomal RNA (816 nucleotides) under Triticum aestivum (bread wheat). RNAcentral describes it as "partial small subunit ribosomal RNA". Lineage: Eukaryota; Viridiplantae; Streptophyta; Magnoliopsida; Poales; Poaceae. The record is from RNAcentral.